This 107-nucleotide non-coding RNA is filed under the name Protocruzia adhaerens. Lineage: Eukaryota; Ciliophora; Spirotrichea. The record is from RNAcentral.
UCUUUUUCUUUUGUUUUUGUUUUUUGUAUUUUCAUUUUUGGUUUGACUCGGCUGAUUUUCAUAGACAAAAUUUGAACAGCAGCAGUAUCAAGAGUAAAAAAAACAAG